GCCUGUGCCUUUGUGGUCCCUGCCAGAGUGAUCUUGGAAGCUAAGCAGAGUUGGGACUGGUUAGUACUUGGAUGGGAGACCAUCUAGGAAGACCAGAUGCUGUAGGCA
This 108-nucleotide ribosomal RNA is filed under the name Pteropus alecto (black flying fox). The record is from RNAcentral. Lineage: Eukaryota; Metazoa; Chordata; Mammalia; Chiroptera; Pteropodidae.